UUGAGGGUUGCUAUUAUGAG
Molecule: non-coding RNA, 20 nt
Filed under: Arabidopsis thaliana (thale cress)
Lineage: Eukaryota; Viridiplantae; Streptophyta; Magnoliopsida; Brassicales; Brassicaceae
Source: RNAcentral